UAACUAUGCUAAUAUAUAACAUAAUUACAGUCGCUUUUACAGCGUUGUCGAUCAUUCGUUGUGUGGCAUCGUUCAUUCUGUUUGUCGUCAUCAUCGUCAUUAUCGUAUUUGUUUGCUACCUACUGAAGCCUAAACGGAAAAGGCAAUACGCAUUGAAAACACCGCAUGAAGUAUCAUACCACAGACCACAAUCGCAAUGGCUAACCUACACGUAAAAUAAGAACUAGCAGGUCAAAUUAAUUAGAAAGACAGCAAUUUAACAGAUCGUUUUCUGCCACAUAUACUUUAUCUUUAUAAGUAUACACAAAAGAAAACAGAAUCAACCCUACUGGAGUAGGAAUUCCUUCCUAAUAAACUUAGUACUGGUGACUUUUUACGGAGUACCACGGUGCUCUAUCUUUGGUCCUAUAUCAAAUGACACAGGAUAACCACUAACUAUGUGGCUCUUUCAAAAAAAAGCACGAUUCAACGUUUAAAUACACUCUAUUAUUCAAAUAGCACAAAUGAUUGUACGUUAAACCAGGAGGAUGUAAUUCUUGUAACCAAUCAAAUAGGCCCUUUGCAUUCUACAGUCACGUGAUGUAAAAGAAAUUAACGAAUUUAAUGAAUCGCAAGUUUAACAAAAGAACUUUGAGGAAAAAUUGAUGGUAAUGAAAUAUAAGGACUUUGGUAGCUUUUCUCCCCAUAUAACUUACAGUCACGUGACUACUAACUGCAAAAAGCCUAUUUAUUGAAAAAAAUGAUUCGUAAUCAAAUGAAUUUCACAUAAGAUUCAA
Molecule: long non-coding RNA, 776 nt
Organism: Actinia tenebrosa (Australian red waratah sea anemone)
Lineage: Eukaryota; Metazoa; Cnidaria; Anthozoa; Actiniaria; Actiniidae
Source: RefSeq, a predicted model, not a curated record